UGUUUGUGUGUGUGUGUGUGUGUUUGUGUCUGACUGUGUGUGUGUUUGUGUCUGACUGUGUUUGUGUUUGUGUCUGUGUAUGUGUCUGUGUGUGUGUUUGUGUCUGACUGUGUGUGUGUUUGUGUCUGACUGUGUGUGUUUGUGUCUGACUGUGUGUGUGUUUGUGACUGUGUUUGUGUCUGUGUAUGUGUCUGACUGUGUGUGUGUAUGUGUCUGACUGUGUGUGUAUUUGUGUCUGACUGUGUGUUUGUGUCUGUCUGACUGUGUGUGUGUGUAUUUAGAAGGUGGGGCGGGGGGGAAGGGUUGGGUGGGGGUGGCACGGGGGUAGGGGGGCGCCUGAGUUUUAUCCUGCCUAGGGCAGCACAAAACCAGGAUACACCACUGGUCCCCCUCCCGCCGGGCUGGAUGGAGAGGAAGGGGUUAAACUUAUCACUUUUUCCAGUGUUGGGUGGGGAGCUCUCCUCCUCCUCUCCGCCUCCUUUCCUCCCUUUUGGCUGAAUGCGCACGCGCGGCAAGAGCUGCGCACAUUCAGCCGGUCUCAUAGGAAAGCAUUUACAAUGCUUUCCUAUGGACGCUUGCGUGUUCUCACUGUGAUUUUCACAGUGAGAAGCACGCAAACGCCUCUAGCGGCUGUCAAUGAGACAGCCACUAGAGGGUUUGGAGGCUGGAUU
Non-coding RNA from Pelobates cultripes (western spadefoot toad), 671 nucleotides. The record is from the annotation of a GenBank genome assembly. NCBI's taxonomy places the organism in Eukaryota, Metazoa, Chordata, Amphibia, Anura, Pelobatidae.